RNAcentral lists this ribosomal RNA (626 nucleotides) under uncultured bacterium. RNAcentral describes it as "bacterial SSU rRNA". It matches the Rfam family "Bacterial small subunit ribosomal RNA", at positions 338 to 1413 of the family's 1533-position model. The record is from RNAcentral.
CCUACGGGAGGCAGCAGUGGGGAAUAUUGCGCAAUGGGGGAAACCCUGACGCAGCAACGCCGCGUGAGUGAGGAAGGACUUCGGUCUGUAAAGCUCUGUUAAUGUGGAAAAAUGGUAGUUGGUCUAAUAGGCCGAUUAUUUGAUGGUACACAUAGAGGAAGCACCGGCUAACUUCGUGCCAGCAGCCGCGGUAAUACGAAGGGUGCAAGCGUUGUUCGGAUUUAUUGGGCGUAAAGCGCGCGUAGGCGGACCUGUAAGUCAGAUGUGAAAUCUCGGGGCUCAACCUCGAAACUGCGUCUGAAACUGCAGGUCUAGAAUCUCGGAGGGGGAAGGGGAAUUUCGCAUGUAGGGGUAAAAUCCGUAGAUAUGCGAAGGAACACCAGAGGCGAAGGCGCCUUCCUGGACGAGUAUUGACGCUGAGGCGCGAAAGCGUGGGGAUCAAACAGGAUUAGAUACCCUGGUAGUCCACGCUGUAAACUAUGAACACUAGGUAUUGGAGGAUUUGACCCCUUCAGUGCCGUAGCUAACGCGUUAAGUGUUCCGCCUGGGAAAGUACGGUCGCAAGACUAAAACUUCAAAUAGAGUUAGUAGCGNGAGAGACGACGACGACGACGACGGAGGAGGAG